CUUAGGCACCUGCUUGGGGGGGUCAGACACCUACAACACAACUGUCUGCUUUAUCAUUAACAGAAAUUCAAAAAUUACAAGAAGAGAAAGAAAAGCAAGAACAGAAUGAGAAACGAUUACAACUACAGCUACAGCAAAUGCAAGUUUUACAACAGACUCAAUCAAACAAAAGUUCACUAACUUGGGCACAGAGAUCUGGUAACUGCAAUGCACCUGUGAAGAGUUUGUUGGAAAUUCAACAGGAGGAAGCACAACGAAUUGCUUGGCAACAGAAACAG
Molecule: long non-coding RNA, 278 nt
Filed under: Centruroides sculpturatus (bark scorpion)
Lineage: Eukaryota; Metazoa; Arthropoda; Arachnida; Scorpiones; Buthidae
Description: uncharacterized LOC111632702
Source: RNAcentral